AACCAGCUCUUCGAGUGCUGCCCAUAAUUAUUGAGCUUAAAGUGUUCGUAGUCUGUUUGGUAGGUCCCUGCUUAAAUCCGGUCGCUCAACGGUCGGUCUGGUAUGAAUACCGCCUUACUUGCUCACGGGAGACGAUGACUGUAUUCCGUAUGUAAGGGUGAAAUCUAAUGAUCUACGGAGGACCACCAGUGGCGAAGGCGGUCAUCGAGAACGUGCCCGACGUGGAGGGACGAAACCCAGGAGAGCACAUCGGAUUAGAUACCCGAGUAGGCCUGGGCGUAAACGAUGUCCGUUAAGUGUUGCAUUGGCCACGAGCCACUGCAGUGCUGUAGCGAAAGCGAUACACGGACCGGUUGCGAAAUACGGUCGCAAGACUGAAACUUAAAUGAAUUGGCGGGGGAACACCACAAGGGGUGGAGCUUGCGGUUUAAUUGGACUCAACGCCGGAAAACUUACCCGCCCAGACAGCCGAAUGAGAGCCAGACUGAUGAUCUUGCUCGACGAGCUGAGAGCUGGUGCAUGGCCAUCGUAAAUUCGUGCCGUGAGGUAUCAGCUCAAGUGCUGCAACGAAUGAGAUCCCUGCCACCUAGUUGCCAGCCGGGAGCUCCGGCUCUGACGGGGCACACUAGGGGGACCGCCAGCGAAAAGCUGGAGGAAGGAGGGGGCCACGGUAGGUCAGUAUGCCUCGAUAUGGGCGGGGCCCCACGCGCGCUACAAUGGCUGGGUACAACGUGUCUCGCCCCCGAAAGAGGAAGUCAAUCUCGAAAGCCAGUCGUAGUCGGGAUCGCGGGAUGGAACUCCCGCGCGUGAACCUGGAAUCCGUAGUAUCCGCGUGCCAUUAUCGCGCGGAGAAUUCGUCCCUUCUUGUU
This 869-nucleotide ribosomal RNA is filed under the name uncultured archaeon. RNAcentral describes it as "SSU rRNA". It matches the Rfam family "Archaeal small subunit ribosomal RNA", at positions 474 to 1341 of the family's 1478-position model. The record is from RNAcentral.